Molecule: ribosomal RNA, 23 nt
Filed under: Heliconia chartacea
Lineage: Eukaryota; Viridiplantae; Streptophyta; Magnoliopsida; Zingiberales; Heliconiaceae
Description: partial 26S ribosomal RNA
Source: RNAcentral
GUCAGGCGGGGCCACCCGCCGAG